RNAcentral lists this ribosomal RNA (305 nucleotides) under uncultured bacterium. Its description in RNAcentral is "bacterial SSU rRNA". It matches the Rfam family "Bacterial small subunit ribosomal RNA", at positions 334 to 637 of the family's 1533-position model. The record is from RNAcentral.
UCUUCCUACGGGACGCAGCAGUGAGGAAUAUUGGUCAAUGGCCGGAAGGCUGAACCAGCCAAGCCGCGUGAAGGACGAAGGUGCCAAGCAUUGUAAACUUCUUUUGUCAAGGGACAAAAUCAGGCUCGAGAGCCUGACCGAGGGUACUUGAAGAAAAAGCAUCGGCUAACUCCGUGCCAGCAGCCGCGGUAAUACGGAGGAUGCGAGCGUUAUCCGGAUUUAUUGGGUUUAAAGGGAGCGUAGGCGGGCUGUUAAGUCAGCGGUAAAAGCCCGGGGCUCAACCCCGGCGGUCCGUUGACACUGGC